Molecule: ribosomal RNA, 445 nt
Filed under: uncultured bacterium
Lineage: Bacteria
Description: bacterial SSU rRNA
Rfam family: Bacterial small subunit ribosomal RNA
Source: RNAcentral
CCAGACUCCUACGGGAGGCAGCAGUGGGGAAUAUUGGGCAAUGGGCGCAAGCCUGACCCAGCGACGCCGCGUGAGGGAAGACGGUCUUCGGAUUGUAAACCUCUUUCAGCAGGGAAGACAAAAGGACGGUACCUGCAGAAGAAGCCACGGCUAACUACGUGCCAGCAGCCGCGGUAAUACGUAGGGAGCGAGCGUUGUCCGGAAUUACUGGGUGUAAAGGGAGCGUAGGCGGGCGAGAAAGUUGAAUGUUAAAUCUACCGGCUUAACUGGUAGCUGCGUUCAAAACUUCUUGUCUUGAGUGAAGUAGAGGCAGGCGGAAUUCCUAGUGUAGCGGUGAAAUGCGUAGAUAUUAGGAGGAACACCAGUGGCGAAGGCGGCCUGCUGGGCUUUAACUGACGCUGAGGCUCGAAAGCGUGGGGAGCAAACAGGAUUAGAUACCCCUGUA